AAACAUGUCUUUUUGAGUUAUUUUUAAAGUCUAACCUGCCCAAUGAAUAAAUUUUAAUGGCCGCAGUAUUCUGACUGUGCAAAGGUAGCAUAAUCAUUAGUCUUUUAAUUGAAGGCUUGUAUGAAUGGUUGGACGAAGUAUAUUCUGUUUCAUAUAAAUUUAAUUUAGAAUUUUAUUUUUUAGUUAAAAAGCUAAAAUUAAAUUAAAAGACGAGAAGACCCUAUAAAUCUUUAUAAUUUAUUUUAUUUUUAUUUUUUAGAUUUAAUUUUAUUUAAAUAAAAUAAAUUAUUUUGUUGGGGUGAUAUUAAAAUUUAAAUAACUUUUAAUUUUUAAAAACAUUAAUUUAUGAUUUAUUGAUCCAUUAUUAGUGAUUAAAAGAAUAAGUUACUUUAGGGAUAACAGCGUAAUUUUUUUGGAGAGUUCUUAUUGAUAAAAAAGUUUGCGACCUCGAUGUUGGAUUAAGAUAUAAUUUUAGGUGUAGUUGCUUAAAUAAUAAGUCUGUUCGACUUUUAAAUUCUUACAUGAUC
RNAcentral lists this ribosomal RNA (527 nucleotides) under Campiglossa genalis. RNAcentral's name for it is "partial small subunit ribosomal RNA". The stretch from base 395 to 527 matches the Rfam family "Bacterial large subunit ribosomal RNA", at positions 2473 to 2605 of the family's 2925-position model. The record is from RNAcentral. Lineage: Eukaryota; Metazoa; Arthropoda; Insecta; Diptera; Tephritidae.